Molecule: non-coding RNA, 173 nt
Filed under: bovine gut metagenome
Description: glmS glucosamine-6-phosphate activated ribozyme
Rfam family: glmS glucosamine-6-phosphate activated ribozyme aptamer
About the family: This entry contains a glucosamine-6-phosphate activated ribozyme that is found in the mRNA for GlmS.
Source: RNAcentral
AGAAUAAAGCGCCUGAGCCUUUUUGUUACCCCCAUUAUGAAUCCAAUCGGUGCUUGCCGCGGGGCAAAGAGGAUGACGAGGAUGGAAGCUGAUCGAAUUUCGGCGGAUGCUUCCCGGCUUGACAGAGAAGCCGCCGGACGGUGUACAAAAACGCGGGCAACCGCGCGACAGAA